AGAUCAAGAGGAAAUGGUUAUUAUAGGCCAAGUACCCGCCAAGAUAGAGGGUUCACAGGUAACCAAUUACUAAGAAAUGGACAAAACCAAUCAGAGUAGACCGUUUAGUUUUCUUAAACAGAGGGAGAGCAAAGUUUUCGUUCCAGGCAUCGCAACUCAGCACAUUCACCCUCAUUAGUUUCAAGAAUGAUAUAAUUUAUAAUUCCACAAGUCAGAUUGAUUUAGAUGUGUCAGGCGUAUGAAUCACGCUUG
This 252-nucleotide unclassified non-coding RNA is filed under the name Hevea brasiliensis (rubber tree). The record is from RNAcentral. Lineage: Eukaryota; Viridiplantae; Streptophyta; Magnoliopsida; Malpighiales; Euphorbiaceae.